RNAcentral lists this ribosomal RNA (329 nucleotides) under uncultured Ruminococcus sp. RNAcentral describes it as "bacterial SSU rRNA". It matches the Rfam family "Bacterial small subunit ribosomal RNA", at positions 28 to 339 of the family's 1533-position model. The record is from RNAcentral. Lineage: Bacteria; Bacillati; Bacillota; Clostridia; Eubacteriales; Oscillospiraceae.
GAUGAACGCUGGCGGCGUGCUUAACACAUGCAAGUCGAACGAAGCAUUUGAUCUGAUUUUUUCGGAAUGAAGAUCUUAUGACUUAGUGGCGGACGGGUGAGUAACGCGUGGGCAAUCUGCCCCAUACCGGGGGACAACAGUUGGAAACGACUGCUAAUACCGCAUAAGCGCACGGAGCCGCAUGGUUCUGUGUGAAAAACUCCGGUGGUAUGGGAUGAGCCCGCGUUGGAUUAGGUAGUUGGUGAGGUAACGGCCCACCAAACCGACGAUCCAUAGCCGACCUGAGAGGGUGACCGGCCACAUUGGGACUGAGACACGGCCCAAACUCC